This 446-nucleotide ribosomal RNA is filed under the name uncultured bacterium. RNAcentral's name for it is "bacterial SSU rRNA". It matches the Rfam family "Bacterial small subunit ribosomal RNA", at positions 329 to 792 of the family's 1533-position model. The record is from RNAcentral.
CACCAGACUCCUACGGGAGGCAGCAGUGGGGAAUAUUGCACAAUGGGGGAAACCCUGAUGCAGCAACGCCGCGUGAGUGAAGAAGUAUUUCGGUAUGUAAAGCUCUAUCAGCAGGGAAGAAAAUGACAGUACCUGACUAAGAAGCCCCGGCUAACUACGUGCCAGCAGCCGCGGUAAUACGUAGGGGGCAAGCGUUAUCCGGAUUUACUGGGUGUAAAGGGAGCGUAGACGGCGAUGCAAGCCAGAUGUGAAAGCCCGGGGCUCAACCCCGGGACUGCAUUUGGAACUGUGUGGCUGGAGUGUCGGAGGGGCAGGCGGAAUUCCUAGUGUAGCGGUGAAAUGCGUAGAUAUUAGGAGGAACACCAGUGGCGAAGGCGGCCUGCUGGACGAUGACUGACGUUGAGGCUCGAAAGCGUGGGGAGCAAACAGGAUUAGAUACCCUUGUA